GGCAGUCGUGGCCUAAUGGUUAGAGUUAGAGACUUAUAACCCGAAGGUGAACCUGAAGGUUGUGCGUUCGAAUCUCAGGUCUGUCA
Molecule: non-coding RNA, 86 nt
Organism: Pangasius djambal
Lineage: Eukaryota; Metazoa; Chordata; Actinopteri; Siluriformes; Pangasiidae
Source: the annotation of a GenBank genome assembly